Molecule: ribosomal RNA, 497 nt
Filed under: uncultured bacterium
Lineage: Bacteria
Description: partial 16S ribosomal RNA
Rfam family: Bacterial small subunit ribosomal RNA
Source: RNAcentral
GAUGAACGCUGGCGGCGUGCCUAAUACAUGCAAGUCGAGCGAACAGAUGAGGAGCUUGCUCCUCUGACGUUAGCGGCGCUCGGGUUAAUAACACGAGGAUAACCCACAUAUAAGACUGGUAUCACCUCGGGAAACCGGCGCUAAUCCUGGAUAAUAUCUUGCUCCGCAUGGUUCAUUAGUGACAGACGGUUUUGCUGUAUCUUAUAGAUGGAUCCGCGCCUCAUUAGCUAGUUGGUAAGGUAACGGCUUACCAAGGCGACGAUGCGUAGCCGACGUGAGAGGCUGAUCGGCCACACCGGAAGUUAGACGCGCACCAGACUCCUAAGGGAGGCAGCAGUAGAGAAACUGGCGCAAUAGGCGAAAGCCUAACGAAGCAACACGGCGUGGGAAAUGAUGGGCUGCCGAGCGUAAGACUCGGUUAAUGGGGAAGAACAGAUGUCUAAUGAACUAUGCACAUCUUGACGGUACCAGCUCAGAAAGCCACGGCUAACUACGUG